Molecule: transfer RNA, 67 nt
Filed under: Phainopepla nitens
Lineage: Eukaryota; Metazoa; Chordata; Aves; Passeriformes; Bombycillidae
Description: tRNA-Cys
Source: RNAcentral
GGCUCUGUAGUGAAAUUCAUGGUGAGUUGCAAGCUCAUUGAUGUACACUAACUGUGUGCCGGAGUCU